This 497-nucleotide ribosomal RNA is filed under the name uncultured bacterium. RNAcentral's name for it is "partial 16S ribosomal RNA". It matches the Rfam family "Bacterial small subunit ribosomal RNA", at positions 28 to 507 of the family's 1533-position model. The record is from RNAcentral.
GAUGAACGCUGGCGGCGUGCCUAAUACAUGCAAGUCGAGCGAACAGACGAGUAGCUUUCUCCUCUGACGUUAGCGGCGGACGGGUGAGUAACACGUGGAUAACCUACCUAUAAGACUGGGAUAACUUCGGGAAACCGGUGCUAAUACCGGAUAAUAUAUUGAACCGCAUGGUUCAAUAGUGAAAGACGGUUUUGCUGUUACUUAUAUAUGGAUCCGCGCCGCAUUAGCUAGUUGGUAAGGUAACGGCUUACCAAGGCAACGAUGCGUAGCCGACCUGCGAGGCGGAUCGGCCAAACUGGAACUGAGACACGUCCCAGACUCGUACGGGAGGCAGCAGUAGGGAAUGUUCCGCAAGGGGCGAAAGCCUGACGGAGCAACGCCGCGUGAGUGAUGAAGGUCUUCGGAUCGUAAAACUCUGUUAUUAGGGAAGAACAAAAGUGUAAGUAACUAUGCACGUCUUGACGGUACCUAAUCAGAAAGCCACGGCUAACUACGUG